GACCUGAUCCAGCCAUGCCGCGUGUGUGAAGAAGGCCUUUUGGUUGUAAAGCACUUUAAGCAGUGAAGAAGACUCUUCGGUUAAUACCCGGGGACGAUGACAUUAGCUGCAGAAUAAGCACCGGCUAACUCUGUGCCAGCAGCCGCGGUAAUACAGAGGGUGCAAGCGUUAAUCGGAAUUACUGGGCGUAAAGCGAGCGUAGGUGGCUUGAUAAGUCAGAUGUGAAAUCCCCGGGCUUAACCUGGGAACUGCAUCUGAAACUGUUAGGCUAGAGUAGGUGAGAGGGAAGUAGAAUUUCAGGUGUAGCGGUGAAAUGCGUAGAGAUCUGAAGGAAUACCGAUGGCGAAGGCAGCUUCCUGGCAUCAUACUGACACUGAGGCUCGAAAGCGUGGGUAGCAAACAGGAUUAGAUACCCUGGUAGUCCACGCCGUAAACGAUGUCUACUAGUCGUUGGGUCCCUUGAGGACUUAGUGACGCAGCUAACGCAAUAAGUAGACCGCCUGGGGAGUACGGCCGCAAGGUUAAAACUCAA
RNAcentral lists this ribosomal RNA (532 nucleotides) under Psychrobacter sp. Its description in RNAcentral is "bacterial SSU rRNA". It matches the Rfam family "Bacterial small subunit ribosomal RNA", at positions 380 to 904 of the family's 1533-position model. The record is from RNAcentral. Lineage: Bacteria; Pseudomonadati; Pseudomonadota; Gammaproteobacteria; Moraxellales; Moraxellaceae.